Long non-coding RNA from Tigriopus californicus, 1049 nucleotides. RefSeq lists it as uncharacterized. The transcript is spliced from 2 exons. Lineage: Eukaryota; Metazoa; Arthropoda; Copepoda; Harpacticoida; Harpacticidae. The record is from RefSeq and is a predicted model, not a curated record.
GAAUUUCAAUGGCCAAAGGAUUAGGGAAAAUUGACCGAGAAAAUGGUCGAUUGUCAAGAAAAUGCUUCUUUCUUGGUUGGGAGAGAGCUCCUCACGCCCACGCCUUUCUUUGAACAAGAUCUUCGGGAGUCGUGUUAUUGUGAUGUCACAUCAAAUCGUUCAUUGUCACAGCAAUCUCUCGAAGGAAACCAAAUCAAUGGAGAGUUUAGGACGCCUAAUUUCACUCAAGUUCUGACCGAAGACGUUGAAAACGUGCUUGGAACGACUUGAUCAGGUAUUAGAAAUGAAUAGGCCAUGGUACCGUUGAAUUCCUCCAAUAUAUGAGGAAGUCAUUGGUCCCAAACGUACCUCGAAGCCAGCCUUUUUCUGCUGAUGAAGAGAGAGUCUAAUCUAGACAGAGCGACUAAUUUGGAGAUCUCAAUUUUUACCUCAUAAAUCUCCAUGCGAACAGCUUUAAAGGUCUCUCAUUCCAAUUUUGGUUAAUGGAAUGUUGCCUCAAAUUGACUUGGAGAGCUGAUCCUACCGAAUUUGCGGCCAAAGGAGCCAAAUUUUUAUCCAUGGGGAUGGGAUCUCAUUUCCUCUACGACUUAUCUUGCACAGAUGUUGUCGGCUCCAAAGACACAUUCGGUUAAAUGACUCUAUAGCUUCCACCUGACUUGGUCGGAUUCUAGAGUACCGUAAUUGGAUUGGCUGCUGGCAAGGUUGACGACAGACGUUGUAAAAACAUAGACCACCCUCAAAGCUGAGGGACAGGGCAUUCCUGACCCGAACGAUCCGUUUCUUGCCCGUCCAUCCAAGUUUAGUCUCUGAUCAUGAAAUUGGACACGAAGAGAGCGAAAUAGUUACGAUGGCGGUUGGGUUAACUCUCCUACCCAAGUAGAGGACAGCACAGAUUGAAAACUCGGAACAGAUUACCGCGAGUACGUGGAGAGGCCAUCCAUCACGAAUGGUAUUUCCAGAAUCAAUGAGUCAGCUUGGGAGAAACUUUGAAAAAUGUCGGCUGCUGUCAAAAGUGCUCAAUUACGAGGACUGGGUGAAUAUCUCAAAAA